AUUGAACGCUGGCGGCGUGCCUAACACAUGCAAGUCGAGCGGUAACAGGUGUAGCAAUACAUGCUGACGAGCGGCGGACGGGUGAGUAACGCUUGGGAAUCUGCCUAUUAGUGGGGGACAACCCGGGAAACGUCGGGCUAAUACCGCAUACGCUCUACGGAGGAAAGCCGGGGACCGCAAGGCCUGGCGCUAAUAGAUGAGCCCAAGUCGGAUUAGCUAGUUGGUAGGGUAANGGCCUACCAAGGCGACGAUCCGUAACUGGUCUGAGAGGACGACCAGUCACACCGGAACUGAGACACGGUCCGGACUCCUACGGGAGGCAGCAGUGGGGAAUAUUGGACAAUGGGCGAAAGCCUGAUCCAGCGACGCCGCGUGGGUGAAGAAGGCCUGCGGGUUNUAAAGCCCCUUUCAGGUGGGGAAGAAAAGCCUCGACCUAACACGUCGGGGUCUUGACGUAACCCAUAGAAGAAGCACC
Molecule: ribosomal RNA, 475 nt
Filed under: uncultured bacterium
Lineage: Bacteria
Description: bacterial SSU rRNA
Rfam family: Bacterial small subunit ribosomal RNA
Source: RNAcentral